Molecule: long non-coding RNA, 1074 nt
Organism: Ruditapes philippinarum (Manila clam)
Lineage: Eukaryota; Metazoa; Mollusca; Bivalvia; Venerida; Veneridae
Exons: 5
Source: RefSeq, a predicted model, not a curated record
AGUUGAGCUUCGCUGUCUCCUGUGACAGCUCUUGUUAUAAUAUAAUGUUAUCUAUUUGUUGGACAGGCUCAGAUUUGCCCCUGCUGGAUGAAGAUAAUGCUAUAUGAGGUAUGGGCAUCAGUUUGUAGAUUAUCUUGGUAGAGGACUGGCAGAUAAUUGAAGCCAGGUUGACUAAUACAUGUAUAUAGAAGCGACAUGGGCAGACAACCAUGCUGUGAGAGUAGCUGCCUGUGCUUGUAUUGCAGAAUUUGGAGGUGAACAAAGAUGUUGUGGACAUGUAUAUUCCAAGGUUGUUAGAGGCUCUUCUAAUUCGUUUUAGUGAUGACAGCUGGACAGUUAGAGAUGGUCAUCUAUACCAGCAUUGUAUCCACUAUUUUUCAACAAUCUACAAGAUAAUAUACCAUCAGUGCGGCAGGGGCGGCCCUUGCUCUCCCAAGUGUAUAUGAUCAAAUAAAUGUUCUAAGAUCUGAUCUGAAGAAGUUUGCAGAGGUUUUUUAUGCUGUGCCCCAUGAGGAGCAAGAAAUAGUCUCUAUAGUUUCCAGUGCCAUAGAUGAAUUCUAGGAACAAAGACAGUUUGGCGAGCCAUUUACCGAUCUCCACCCUUCAGAAGCAUUUUAUACACAUGAAGAGAUUGGCUCAGAUUUGAUAAGUAACAGUAGACGUGUGUUCAAGAAACUAAUAUUUGACUUAUCUGGGAAAUUAUUAGAAACAUUUAUAAACAGAAGAAUAUGAUUAAAAAAAAACAAAGGUGCUUCCCCUCUGACUACUAUAGAUGUGCUAAAACCCGUGGUUCAGGUAGCAGUUAUUGAUGAAUUAGGUUUAAAUGUGGCCAAAAAAUCGUCCGAAAAGACUAAAAGGUGGUAUUUGUAAAAAGAUUGGAUCUUGUUGAUUCACAUUUUUAGCUCAGCUGUCACAAAGUGACAUGGUGAGCUUUUGUGAUCACUUUUUGUCUGGUGUCCGUAAACUUUUACUUUGAACAACAUCUCCUCAUAAACCACUUAGCCAAUUUCAUCUAAACUUCAGGAAUGUUUCUUUGGUAGUGAACUUUAAAAAUUGUUCAAAGAAUUUAAUUCC